AAGGAAAAAAAGAAGGAAGGAAGGAUGGCUAGAAAGAAGGGUAAAGAGCAAGUGAGGAAAGGAGGGAAGGAAAAGUAGGAAGAGCCUCUUUGAGGUGGUGGCAUCUGAGCAGAGACCUGAAUGAAGGUUUAGAGUGAGCCAGGAGAAGAUCUGGAGGAAGAGCAUCCCAGGCAGCUGGUACGGCAUGUGCAAAGGCCCUGGGGUGAGACUGGGCUCUGCAUAUUGGGGGAACAUCAAGUAGAUGUGCAGAGUGAUGGAAGAAGAGGCUGAGGUGGGUAGGGGUCUGACUAUGAAGAAUCUUCCAGGCCACAGAAAGGACUCCUCUAGGAAGGAGUGAAGGAGCCAGGCAGGGGUGGCUUCCUUCAGGAGAGGACAAGGCUGUGUAGACACAGUUACUUCCUUUCUGCUGCUUCUGAAGGGCUGGCCGUCCAGGGGAA
This is a long non-coding RNA of Otolemur garnettii (small-eared galago), 437 nucleotides long. RefSeq lists it as uncharacterized. NCBI's taxonomy places the organism in Eukaryota, Metazoa, Chordata, Mammalia, Primates, Galagidae. The transcript is spliced from 2 exons. The record is from RefSeq and is a predicted model, not a curated record.